RNAcentral lists this ribosomal RNA (438 nucleotides) under Gryon sp. M171. Its description in RNAcentral is "eukaryotic LSU rRNA". The record is from RNAcentral. Lineage: Eukaryota; Metazoa; Arthropoda; Insecta; Hymenoptera; Scelionidae.
CCCGAAAGAUCGAAUGAGGAGAUUCAAUGUCAGCGUGAUUGGCUAUCAUGUGGUUAUGCGAUGGUUAAGAUUUAUUUUAAUUCACGCUUCCGCUGUGGUUGUGUCCAGUUACGUCGGCGUGCACUUCUCCUUUAGUAGAACGUCGCGACCCGCUGAGUGUUGGUUUAAGGAUUAAGAUUGUCGACUGUACCGUCGCUUUGGCGUUAUGUGUGCAGACUCUUGAAUUCCCAAUCAACUGUUCGGCGGUAUGUAUUAAUGGUAUCGAGCCGCACUUGAAUGCGUUCAGACUUGUCGCAAGCUUGAUCAUAUACCUGGAAUACGGACCUAGUGCCGUAUCUGGGAUUGAUUAAACUGUUGGUAGACAAUGUUCUCGAACUGGCUUAAUAUGCAAUUCAGCGAUACCGGUCGGCGACGCUAUUGCUUUGGGUACUCACAGGA